AUUUAUAUAGUUUAAAUAAAACAUUACAUUUUCACUGUAAAAAUAAAAAAUUUUUUUUUAUAAAUA
RNAcentral lists this transfer RNA (66 nucleotides) under Coquillettidia perturbans. RNAcentral's name for it is "tRNA-Glu". RNAcentral also lists the same sequence under 1 other name. The record is from RNAcentral. Lineage: Eukaryota; Metazoa; Arthropoda; Insecta; Diptera; Culicidae.